AGCUCCAGUAGCGUAUAUUAAAGUUGUUGCAGUUAAAAAGCUCGUAGUUGGAUUUCUGGCUUAAUGCAGCUAACCUGGCCCUUAGUGGCUUUGUGUUGGUUCUGUGUUUGCCAUCCUUCCAGAGACCUAUCAUACCCUUCAUUGGGCCGUGAUUGUAAUCUGGAACUUUUACUUUGAAAAAAUUAGAGUGUUCAAAGCAGGCGUUACCGCUGUGAAUACAUUAGCAUGGAAUAAUAAUUUAGGACUUGGGUUCUAUUUUGUUGGUUCUAGGACCGAAGUAAUGAUUGAUAGGGAUAGUUGGGGGUGCUAGUAUUCAGCGGCCAGAGGUGAAAUUCUUGGAUUCGCUGAAGACUAACUUAUGCGAAAGCAUUCACCAAGGAUGUCUUCU
This 388-nucleotide ribosomal RNA is filed under the name uncultured eukaryote. RNAcentral's name for it is "SSU rRNA". It matches the Rfam family "Eukaryotic small subunit ribosomal RNA", at positions 587 to 972 of the family's 1831-position model. The record is from RNAcentral.